ACGUCUACAUCACGUUGAAACACCGGUUCAUGUACGAUCGCCGAAGUUAAGCAACGUCGAACCUGGUCAGUACUAAGAUGGGUGACAGCUUAGGAAUAACGGUUGCUGGA
Non-coding RNA from Acanthosepion pharaonis, 110 nucleotides. The record is from the annotation of a GenBank genome assembly. NCBI's taxonomy places the organism in Eukaryota, Metazoa, Mollusca, Cephalopoda, Sepiida, Sepiidae.